RNAcentral lists this ribosomal RNA (551 nucleotides) under uncultured bacterium. RNAcentral's name for it is "bacterial SSU rRNA". It matches the Rfam family "Bacterial small subunit ribosomal RNA", at positions 355 to 896 of the family's 1533-position model. The record is from RNAcentral.
UGGGGAAUCUUCCGCAAUGGGCGAAAGCCUGACGGGGCAACGCCGCGUGAGUGAAGACGGCCUUCGGGUUGUAAAGCUCUGUUAUACGGGACGAAUAAUCUUGUGGUUAAUACCCAUGAGAAGUGACGGUACCGUAAGAGAAAGCCACGGCUAACUACGUGCCAGCAGCCGCGGUAAUACGUAGGUGGCAAGCGUUGUCCGGAAUUAUUGGGCGUAAAGGGCGCGCAGGCGGCUUCUUAAGUCUGUCUUAAAAGUGCGGGGCUUAACCCCGUGAUGGGAUGGAAACUGGGAAGCUCAGAGUAUCGGAGAGGAAAGCGGAAUUCCUAGUGUAGCGGUGAAAUGCGUAGAUAUUAGGAGGAACACCAGUGGCGAAAGCAGCUUUCUGGACGAAAACUGACGCUGAGGCGCGAAAGCCAGGGGAGCGAACGGGAUUAGAUACCCCGGUAGUCCUGGCCGUAAACGAUGGGUACUAGGUGUAGGAGGUAUCGACCCCUUCUGUGCCGGAGUUAACGCAAUAAGUACCCCGCCUGGGGAGUACGGCCGCAAGGUUG